GCGUCCUUAGCUCAGUUGGAUAGAGCGUUUGGCUUCGAACCAAAAGGCCGGGAGUUCGAGUCUCUCAGGACGCGCCA
RNAcentral lists this transfer RNA (77 nucleotides) under Paenibacillaceae bacterium. RNAcentral describes it as "tRNA-Arg". It matches the Rfam family "tRNA". From Rfam's summary of the family: Transfer RNA (tRNA) molecules are approximately 80 nucleotides in length. Their secondary structure includes four short double-helical elements and three loops (D, anti-codon, and T loops). The record is from RNAcentral. Lineage: Bacteria; Bacillati; Bacillota; Bacilli; Caryophanales; Paenibacillaceae.